Non-coding RNA from Phalacrocorax carbo (great cormorant), 74 nucleotides. Lineage: Eukaryota; Metazoa; Chordata; Aves; Suliformes; Phalacrocoracidae. The record is from the annotation of a RefSeq genome assembly.
GUCUCUGUGGCGCAAUUGGCCAGCGUAUUUGGCUGUUAACUGAAAGGCUGGUGGCUCGAGCCCACCCGGGGACA